Molecule: transfer RNA, 73 nt
Filed under: Polulichloris maxima
Lineage: Eukaryota; Viridiplantae; Chlorophyta; Trebouxiophyceae; Watanabeales; Watanabeaceae
Description: tRNA-Glu
Rfam family: tRNA
About the family: Transfer RNA (tRNA) molecules are approximately 80 nucleotides in length. Their secondary structure includes four short double-helical elements and three loops (D, anti-codon, and T loops). Further hydrogen bonds mediate the characteristic L-shaped molecular structure. tRNAs have two regions of fundamental functional importance: the anti-codon, which is responsible for specific mRNA codon recognition, and the 3' end, to which the tRNAs corresponding amino acid is attached (by aminoacyl-tRNA synthetases). tRNAs cope with the degeneracy of the genetic code in two manners: having more than one tRNA (with a specific anti-codon) for a particular amino acid; and 'wobble' base-pairing, i.e. permitting non-standard base-pairing at the 3rd anti-codon position.
Source: RNAcentral
GUCCCCAUCGUCUAGAGGCCUAGGACACUUUCCUUUCACGAAAGCGACGGGGGUUCGACUCCCCCUGGGGAUA